UGGCAAGCGGAGCCACAGAGUAAGCCUCCAGCAGGGUAGAGUGACAAACUAGCAAUCGGAAGUUACUGUUGAAGCUAAGGCAGCCAUAACUGAUAAUGGCAGGGAAUUUCCUGGCCUCCCGUCUCCAGUGUGACGUAGUUUUCCCUUCGCCCAAAUCUCACCGUUGCCCUGGGCAACAGUCGAGCCGUCUGGGAAGAUAAAUCUUUUCUUCUGUAGGCUUGAGUCAAGAACUGUGAGUCAUCUUGGUAAUACUGGGUUGGAUGCCUAACGUUGCCGGGAAAAAGACCAGGAGAACUUUCAGGAAAAAACUUAGCUGUAUCCAACAAUUCAGAUAUGGCAGAAGUGAAGUCAGUGUUCCGGGAAGUUCUUCCAAAACAAGGGCAGUUGUCAGUGGAAGAUAUAACCACAAUGGUGCUGUGUAAACCCAAACUUUUGCCCUUAAAAUCUCUGACUCUGGAAAAACUGGAGAAAAUGCAGCAAGCAGCCCAGGAUACGAUUCGCCAACAAGAAAUGGCAGAAAAGGAACAACAGCAAAUAACUCACUGAAUGCUAAGGAUUUGAAACCAAUUAUCUAAGAUGGUCAUCAGUAGUUCAGCUUCUAGUUGUAGCUAAAGAGGCAAGACUUGACUUUCUUGUUCAAAUACAAUAACCUCUAUGGCUCCAGAGAAAAGGAGGAAAAAGUUUUCCAGCAUAAGAACUUCAACAAGAAUGUUCUUCCUAAUACACUGCCUGUUAAAAUCACCUUUGCACCUAGUACACACUCAACGAAUGUUGGCUGAAUGAAGUAAAUAAUCUCAUUUACGUAUCUUUGACUUCAACUUCUGCAAUGUAUUUUCAUGAAAGUAAUCUCUACACCGAACGUGAGGCUCAAACUCACAACCCUGAGAUCAAGAGUCACAAGCUCCUCCAACUGAGAAAGCCAAGGGCCCUGAGUAUUACCACCUUAACAAUAUUACGUCUUCCAAUCCAUAAAUGUAGGAUAUCUGGGUAUCUUUCUACUUAUUUAGGUCUUAAUUUAUUUCAACAAUGUUUUGCAGUUGUUGGUAUAUAAGAAUUACACUUGUUUUGUUAAAUUUAUUCCUAAAUAUUUUAGUAUUUUCUAUUCUACUGUAAAAGAAAUUGUUUCCUAAUUUCACUUCAAAACAUUCAUUGCUAGUGUACAGAACUAGAACUGAAUAUUGUAUAUUGAUCUUAUAUCCUACAACCCUGCUGAAUUCAUUUAUUAGUUGACAGUUUGGUUUUUGUUUUUUUGUAGAGUCAUUCAGAUUUUCUAUAUGCAGAUCAUGUCAUCUGGGAAUAAAGAUAAGUUUUACUUCUUCCUUUCCCAUCUAGAUGCCUUUUAUGUCAAAAUCUUGCCAAAAUGCCCUGGUAUCUUGACUGUGUUUAUACCCAAUCUUCCCAACAACUUGAAAAAUUUUUUAAAACCAGAUGUUGCAAUCAUGACAUUACAAACACCAACUUAUCUACUUUAAGAUAUAUAAAAGCAAAUUGUACUCGCUUCGGCAGCACAUAUACUAAGAUAUAUAAAAGCAAACUGGUCAAAAUCUAUACUUUCAGCUCCUUAACCCCCAAACUAAGUACACAUAUCACUAAAAGAUUAAAUAUCGAAACUAUAGUCACAUGAAAAGAAUAUACUCAAAAAUCAGAAGCACAUGAGCUAUAUAAAUCUUCUAAUUUUCUUAACAAUCCGCAAAUAAGAUUAAAUACUUUUUCUGGUUUCCUGUUACACAACAUUACUUUAUUGCCAGAAAAAAAGAUCCACAGAGAAUAAAUCUGGCAUUUUAAUGCAAAAAUCAAUCAUUUUUACUUUUAAAGCAUGCAUACAGGUAGCGAACUUCCUUACAAAAAUCUACCACUCUGAUCUACUCUAGUGUUCAUAAUUCUUAACUUAUGAUCUCAGAGUAUCCAGUUUCAAAUUACUCACUUAAAAAUGUAGUUAUUUACUGAGUAACUAUAAAAUAGAAAGUCUUACUUUGACAGUAUUUGAAAAAUUUUAAACACCAAUAUAAGAAAAGACUUCAGGCAUUCCUUUGAGGUUCAAAUACAGCCUUCUUAUGAAAGCCCUUUUAACUUAACUCAGUCUUAUUUUUAAGUCAGAGAAACCAUAAAAAUUUAGUAACAAUUAUAUAAUUCUUGUGUAAUUUAUAGCACUAGGGUAUAAAGCCAAAUAUACAAAGGUUAUCCAAUUUUCCAUGUGUAACUUUAAGACUGAACUUAAUUUUUGUCUGCAGAAAUACCAGCUAGAGGGCAUAGUUUACUUCCCUAGAGAAAUACAUGUAAAUUAAGUUAAAGACAAUACCCAGUAGUUACCUCUUUAACAAGGUGAUUAACAGACUGCUGCCCACCUCCAGAACCCCACACACUGUCUUUGCGCUUUCCACCUUUAGACAUACUCAGGAGCACAGUAGCCUUGUCCAGAGCAGCUCUACCAAAAAAAAUAAAUAAAUAACAAUAAUAAAUAAUUUUGGCAACUUGGACAUGCUUGAGGCUGACCUAAAAGCUUUCAUGUAACCUAAAAGCAACCUAAAAUUCCAAAGUCUUUUAAAAAACAAAUACUUUUUAAAAUAAAAAGUUGGGAACAAAAAAACAGUUGCUUUUCAUGUUAAUAUUCUCAUACUCUCUUCUUUUCUCAAUCAACAAAAAUCUAAAACCUUAUUACAAAAUAAUACAUCUAUCCUGAGGAGAAACAUUUUGCAUAAAACUAAACUUUUACAUAGAUAUAUGCCUUCCCACCAGGGCAACCAUUCCACUCUGAUCUGAGUAGUCCUAGAAAAUUAAGUUAACAUCUACACCUGAGAAAACCUAACACAUGGCUAAGACCAAAUCUAAGUUUCCAGAAAGUUAUAAAAAUCAUACAGGAUGACUCCCAAAUACUACAUUUAGCCUAAAAUUAUACCAAAGAACAAGAGUGAAAAACAUUAUUUCCUAAUAUUACUGUAGCAGAUAAAUAUAAAAUAAAAUAGAAAAUGGGGUUCCUUUGUUAAUACUGUCCAUCUUACUAGAAUAUGAAAUAAUUACAGAAUGUAAAAACCUGAAGAGACCUUAAAUAUUCUCAGUCCAAUCCUUCCAUUUUAUAAAUAAGGAAACUGAGGCCCAGAGAAGAGUGGUUUGACAUAAAGGUAGCUAGGUUUAGCUAAUCCCAAACUUCUACAUUAUAGUACUGUCCUCUUCCUGUUACAUCAUGUCAACAAUCUCUCAAUUUUGUUUUAGCAGUGGAGAAUGCACACAAAUGACAAACACAAUGUCUGAUUAAUCCAAAUGUCAUUUCAAUAAAAUCCUGUAGAAUUUUCCCCUCUUUUGAAAUUCUAAGUAGAAAAAUUAAUUUACUUACCUAGCCUGUACACAAUCUACAGUUCCUUUGUAACUAUCAAUAUAGGUAUUACAUAAAAUUCCAUCUCCAACAGCUCUAGCAAUAAACUGGCCCACCAACUACAAUAAGGAAAAAAAAAAAAAGCUAUAUAAAAAAAUCUAAAACCUUUAUAGGACACAAUUUCUAAA
This is an RNA transcript of Mirounga angustirostris (Northern elephant seal), 3498 nucleotides long. It is a transcript of the gene named BBSome interacting protein 1, with no coding region annotated. The record is from RefSeq and is a predicted model, not a curated record. The transcript is spliced from 6 exons. NCBI's taxonomy places the organism in Eukaryota, Metazoa, Chordata, Mammalia, Carnivora, Phocidae.